GAUGAACGCUAGCUACAGGCUUAACACAUGCAAGUCGGAGGGGCAUCAUGGAGGCAGCUUGCUGUCUCUGAUGGCGACCGGCGAAGUGGGUGAGUAACGCGUGAGCAACCUGUCCUCUACAGGGGAAUAAGACAGCGAAAGUUGUUCUAAUACCGCAUAAGACCACAUUGCCACAUGGCGGAGGGGUCAAAGGAGCAAUCCGGUAGAGGGUGGGCUCGCGUCCGAUUAGAUAGUUGGUGAGGUAACGGCCCACCAAGUCAACGAUCGGUAGCCGACCUAAGAGGGUGAUCGGCCACAUUGGGACUGAGACACGGCCCAGACUCC
Molecule: ribosomal RNA, 324 nt
Filed under: uncultured Ruminococcus sp.
Lineage: Bacteria; Bacillati; Bacillota; Clostridia; Eubacteriales; Oscillospiraceae
Description: bacterial SSU rRNA
Rfam family: Bacterial small subunit ribosomal RNA
Source: RNAcentral